UACGGAGGGGGCAAGCGUUGUUCGGAAUUACUGGGCGUAAAGGGCGCGUAGGCGGCUUGGUAAGUCGGUGGUGAAAUCCCGCGGCUCAACUGCGGAAUUGCCAUCGAUACUGCCGGGCUUGAAUCCGGGAGAGGUCGGCGGAAUUACUGGUGUAGCGGUGAAAUGCGUAGAUAUCAGUAGGAACACCGAUGGCGAAGGCAGCUGGCUGGACCGGAAUUGACGCUGAGGCGCGAAAGCGUGGGUAGCAAACAGG
Molecule: ribosomal RNA, 253 nt
Filed under: uncultured bacterium
Lineage: Bacteria
Description: partial 16S ribosomal RNA
Rfam family: Bacterial small subunit ribosomal RNA
Source: RNAcentral